This 876-nucleotide long non-coding RNA is filed under the name Vulpes vulpes (red fox). Its description in RNAcentral is "lncRNA (ENSVVUG00000012303.1)". Lineage: Eukaryota; Metazoa; Chordata; Mammalia; Carnivora; Canidae. The record is from RNAcentral.
AAUGAUAGGUUUACUUCUAUUCCUUAUACUAAAGCUGCAUCUUUAGAAAAGAAGAUUAAUUUUUUCACCUCUUCUGUUCGAAAAUACAGUGCUUCUUUGAAGGUAGAGUAUGAGAUGGACUCAUAGAACUUGGAGAACUAACAAAAGGCCCAUGAGCAGAUGGAACAGAGGACAGACAUUUUUCUUCAUGGUAUCAGCAAAAACAGACAACAGGAAGUUGAGUCAAACAAGACCAGAUUCCCUUUAUGACAGCAACCUGAUGGUCAGAGGAUACGCAUUAAGUUUCCCAAGGUUACUGCUGCCAACAGAAGGCUUCCAGUUUGAUUUCUGUAUUGGAUCACAACUCCAAAAUGGAAGGCAGUUUUAGGCCCUGCCUUAUUAUGCCAAAUGUAUGAAAUUCAAGAGUAUAAUCCAAAGGAAUAUUCAGAAGUUGCUGAAUAAUGUCUCUUUUUCAUGGUAAAUUAAAGGGAUAAAAAAUUUUGAAAUACUUCAUAGACCUAAAUGGUAAGAUGAGACUUUGGCAAAUACUUGGAUAAAUAUGACAUUUCUUUCUCCAUCACCUAAAACAAGAAUAGUUCCAAUUUCAUCUUUUUUCAUUCUCUUUUAAGUCCAACCUACAGCGGACUGCUUGGGCAGGGGCCCAACUCUGUUUCCAAGCUAACUCAACAGAUCUCCUCAGCAGUCUGUUCUAAUUGCAACCUACAGGAGAGCACUCUAAUUUUAAAGGACUUUAGAACAAGACCUCAUUUUUACAUUUUCACAUUUCAUGAGUUGACUUUUACCACAUUAAGCCAAUGGGCUUUUUAAAUCUUAAGGAGGAAAGCGACAGUUUGAAAUUAUAAUAAAUUAUCAUCGAUGUUUAUUUAAAUUUUAGAU